CGUCUCCGAUUCGAUUCGCAUCCGUCUGCCGAGUGCCGACCACACACGGAAGACCGGAAAGGGUUUCGACGUCCUGCUUGCUCCUACAACUCCAGGGAGAAGAUGCUCAAGACGCCGCCGCAGCUUGAUCCAGAGAAGCGGUGGCAGAUUUAUUGCCAGGAACCUGAUCCCGCGUGCGGUGCUAGCGGAUCCGGACAAGAUGCACCCGCUGAUCAACAGGAAAGCGACGGGAAGCGGGGCCAACACCGCUCGCCUGGUGACGAAGCGAGGCCUGAUCGGCAGCUCAAGAGGAGGAGGAAGAAGAAGAAGAAGAAUUAUAAUGCUAUGAAGAUGUUGCAAUAUUCCCUAAUCCAAUUGAGGCUACUGAGGGGUCAGUUGAUUGGUCGAGUUGAGGAUGGCGGUGUUAUAGCCCGAUUGAAGCUUAUGGACAAAAUAUGUAUGGAGUUGAGGUAUGUAUGCGAGUGGAAUGAGUACAGGUGGAAAUUUUUGUUGUGGCUCCUUAAAAGGACGAGGUUGGACUUGCAUCCGGAGUUGGUGAUGGAUUUGUCACACACGAAGGAGCUGGAAACCAAACCCACGUACGAUGCUAGCCAAUCCAGAGAAGAAGCCUCUGCUGCAGCUUCAGCUUCUGAUGGACAGGGAGACGAUAAGGAAAGGGGUGACUUGCAAGCAGUUGAGGCCUAUGGUUCUCCUCCUGGUAAGGAAAAGGUUGACUUGCAAGCAGCUAAGGACUCUUCUCCCACUGCUGAGAAGGGAAAGGGCAAGCAUAUUGGAUAUGAAGCACAGCAGAAGAAAAACAGCAUUGAAGAUGUUAAAUCCUCAAGUCAACAAGAAAUUAGCAAGCCGAAGAAGAAGAAGAAACAGAAGAAGAGGCAGAGGCGCAAGAUGGACGAAUCCACAGAAAAUCUAUCAUGCCACAGUGGUAGCCCAUCCUCUUCUCAUGAUGGAACAAGCACAUCAACAAUAGAGGGGGAGCCAAAACCAUCUUCUGGGGACCUUGCCAAGAUUUCACGAGAACACAAACAAGAACAAGAAUCAAUGGAGGAUUUAGAAGAUCUCCUUGGCAUGGAUGAGGAUACCAUCUCAAACAAAGUCAGUUACUACUUUCAUCAGUUAUAUGUUCAGGACCAUCUUGAUGAUGAUGAUGAUGAUGAUUGGCUUGAAUGCGAUGGGCCACAGCAGCUCACUGAGUUGCACGAGCAGCUGGCCUUCUACCGCAUCAUAGGUUAUGAGUUAUCAAAUGGUAGAAAGCUUGACGAACUGGAUAUUGCAAAACUGAAAGAGAAGUACCCUCCCUCCAUUCUUUAUGAGAAGGGGUACUUUCAGUACUAUGAGGAUAGUCUUGAAUGGUACUUUGAUCCUGAACGAUUCCAGCCUGCUGCCCUUGAUAACUACCAGCGUCUAGUGCUUUGUGAUAAUGGUUUGUACAUGGACUGGGAUCAAUACCACUCAAAUUAUAGUACCUAUGAGAGUGAUCUAGCAUAUGUCAAAUUCUGUGAAGAGCUAGCACAUAAGACUAAGUGGUUUCAAGAUUAUUUGGUACUCAUUGCUGUUGAGGAUAAGAUAACCAUGGGUCAGUGGGACAAAGUUAAAAAUACAGUUUACCUUCAAGCAAUGAAGAUCGCACUACGCAUUCGUGUUGUUUCUCUAAUGCAAGUUAUGACUGCUUUCCAGGAAUAUAUAUGGAGCAUGCGGUUUGAUUGUUGUAACUACAAAGAUUUUGAUGGUGUGUAUUUUGAGGUUUGGAAGCGGGUUGCUAAGCAGAAGAUGGAAUUCACUGAUGCCCUGUCAGAACUUUAUAGAGAAGAUAUGUUUCCCUUGCGCAAUGUUGAUAUUAAGGAUGAGCUUCGCAGUACUCGAGGGAGAUUCCGUUCGAUGAAGGAAAAUUACGAUCUCUACGUGGCUUGCAUUGAUGAAACGGUGCCAGAAAAAGAAGCUCGUCAAUUGAUCAAAGAUGCCAUUAUAGAAAUGAUUCCAAAACCACAGACUUAUUUGGAUUACGCCAGAAACAAGAUAAAAAUCGCAGAAGAUAUCGGUUUGAUUACCAAAAGCAGAGGACCAGAGCCAAGAACCUAGAAGGUCACUGCACAACACAUCCCAGGGGAGACAAUAGCGAGGCAAUGCAUGCCAUGGACAACAAAGCAAAUGGCGGCUGAAAUCUUUUUGAGUAUAUUAUUAGUAAUAAGAAAGGAUAUUGGCGCUACGGUUUAUUAUCAAAUUUCUUAUUUAUUAUCUUCUGUUGAGAUAU
RNAcentral lists this long non-coding RNA (2248 nucleotides) under Oryza sativa Indica Group (long-grained rice). RNAcentral describes it as "lncRNA OsMH63_01G047260". Lineage: Eukaryota; Viridiplantae; Streptophyta; Magnoliopsida; Poales; Poaceae. The record is from RNAcentral.